CUUAAACAGAGGUGCGGCCUGGGCUUUCUUCUUCUUUCUUUUUUUUUUUUUUCAGAUGUGUAUGCAAUGUACUUAAAACUAUUUACCCUAAACUGGAAUUUGGAUGAGAAUUUCUGCAGUGAGACUUAUGAGCACCAACAGUCCCACUGGGUACAGUGCCUCAGAAGCAGUAUCCAAUGUCCAGUGUGACAGCAGAACAACUCUUGAUGUGCCAUUCAGGGGAACCACAAUCUAAAUGAGAGCCAGCUUGAGCUGGCUAAUUGCCUCUCCUUCCCAGGACCACACUGACUAAAAUGAGGGAGGGUCCUUUAUCAGAGGUGAAACUACAGAACAGUGCCAGGAUAGGCUGGAGACCUGUGUUAGAAGACCUGGGGACCAAGACGCCCAUCUCUCACCUGCAGUUCCUGGAGAGGAAGGACUACCCUAGUGCAUGAAGACCAGGGUUCCUCAGUAUUGCCUUCAUCUCAGACUCACCUUCCAAAUUAUAGCACAGGCUCAUUCUGGUCUGUCUUGCGGGAUGGGAUUGGGGUGACAACCCUGCAAAUCUGAGUGAGUUCCUUUGAAGGGGAGAGCUGGUGGAGCCAUGCAACCUGCAGCCACUAAACACAAGCGGCCCAAGGGGCUGGAAGGGGAAUCCUGUGAAUGAGCUCCCGCGCCCAGGGCCUAGGGACUUCUCUGUAACUUGACUUCUCCCUGCUGAAGAUCAACUUCCCCAGCUCCUGCUCUCUGUGCACCUCUCUCAGCCUACUGAGUGAUUAACCUGACCACAGACCUAUCUCAUUCAUGUCUCCAGUCUCAGUUCUAAUGGAGGCCUGUGAACACUGUAAGGAAGACAGAGAAAAGCCAAGGCAAUGUCAGUUAUCUCGACUCAAACAGGCCAACAAAUGGCAGGCCGGGAUGGAUCUGCCCUGAGUCACACAGGCCAAGACACAGUAGGCUAAAACCAGCACUGGGUACCAAUUCUAUACCCAAUUCUCUUCUCCUAGGAAUUCCUUCUCUUCCUUCUAACAACUGUUUUGGGUGAUGCUCCCACAUGUUGCCUGACUUCCAUGUAGCUCUUAAUUAAUUUCAAGUUGCAUUGCUAGUUGUUUCCAUAUCCACUUCUGUCACUUGGUCAUACAAUUUCCUGGAUGACAGGGACAUCUUUUUCAUCCUGGUUUCUCCCAAGGUACCAACUGUGCUUGGAUUACAUGGAGUAGGCAUUUGAGACGUGUUGGUUAAAGUGGUUACAAAUUCACCCUAACAUAAAUAUUUGGUGUCUACCUCCUAAUUCAAGUUUAACGUGCACAACAGUCUGCCGAGCAGCUACCACUCUUCUACUCUGUAGAUGAAGGACUGUGAGAUAUGCCAAGGUUAAGCCAGGUGUCCCACUCCCAUCGUCAGCAGCACAGAGUCUGAGCAGACUCUCCAGCUGCAGAGUGAGUCUUGUUAACCAGUAUCCGCACACACCGUCUCUCUGAGCCCUGGAACCACACGGGUAUGAAUGACAACAGCAUGUUCAUUUUUUCAGGGAAGAAAUAAUGAAAUCUCUUAAUCCUCCAGGAUUUUGCCCAUGCAGAUCCCUGUGCUUGGAAAGUUCUUCCUGCCCUUUCUACCUUAGGAAAUUCCAUGUUCCCUCAAGACCCUGCUCAAGAUGAACUCUUGAAAGUCUCUUAAGUUUCCUCCAGGUGGUUAGGGACCCUCUGCUGGGCUCUUACAUAUAUUGUCCUUUGCUCUGUCACUGCUUACAUGAUCUUAGAUGACCUGUGCAAGUUUUCUUCUCAAUCUCUUGCCUCAGAAUAUGAGAUCUCUGAGGGCAAGGGCUGCCUUUCAUGAUACUUGGCAUGGAAACAUUUAAUAAUUGUUGAUUGUAAGGAUUUAUUAAGCACCUAUUAAAUAUUCACCUGAUUUUAUUUAAUUCUUCCAAUCUCCUACAACUAGGUGCCAAAUUGUCCCAUUUUUUGGAUAAGUAAGCUAAGGUGUCAUAAGUCUCAGAUUCUACCUGAAUAAAAUAUCCUACCUCAGCUCAGUCUAAGGUCCCAGAGUCUUUCUGGCAUCCUUGUCCCAAAACACAGGUUGGAGCCAGUACCCUGGGCAGAGCAGGAUGUUCUCAUGAAGUUUGCCUGCAAGUGGGUCUCUUGGGUUCUUGUUCCUGGGACCUGAUCUGAGACCUGUGAAAAGAGUAGGUACAGUACCCAGGUCAUGGGCCAGUGGGACCUCUAAAGCUGCAACUCCUUCAUUUGCUCAUCUCAUUUCAUUUAUGUGUACUUCAGCUGAGCCCAAGGAAAUCAGUAUCACUAACCACAAAAGAACUUCACGUCCACUUAACUGAACAACUUGUAUGCAACAACCUCAGAAAGGCUUAAAAAAUGCAUAUGUAAUACAGCAGUGUCGAGUUGAAAUAUGAACUGUCAGAAACCUGAUUAAGCCUUAGCCUGUACUGUAUAUUCUAAAUCUCUAAAGAACACCUCUAUUCAAAGAAGAUAAACCAAUCACAACCAA
This is a long non-coding RNA of Marmota monax (woodchuck), 2481 nucleotides long. RefSeq lists it as uncharacterized. The record is from RefSeq and is a predicted model, not a curated record. The transcript is spliced from 2 exons. NCBI's taxonomy places the organism in Eukaryota, Metazoa, Chordata, Mammalia, Rodentia, Sciuridae.